This 951-nucleotide ribosomal RNA is filed under the name uncultured Omnitrophica bacterium. RNAcentral's name for it is "bacterial SSU rRNA". It matches the Rfam family "Bacterial small subunit ribosomal RNA", at positions 8 to 934 of the family's 1533-position model. The record is from RNAcentral. Lineage: Bacteria; Pseudomonadati; Candidatus Omnitrophota.
AGGGUUUGAUCAUGGCUCAGAACGAACGCUGGCGGCGUGGAUUAGGCAUGCAAGUCGAACGGUAGUCUAGCUUUUUCGGACUAUAGUGGCGAAAGGGUGAGUAACACGUGAGUAACCUGCCUUCGGGAUCGGGAUAACCUGUCGAAAGACGGGCUAAUACCGGAUGUGUCCUUAUAUCUUCGGAUAUAAGGGGAAAUGAUGGGGAUUCCUUCGGGAACCUGUCGCCCUUAGAUGGGCUCGCGGCCUAUCAGCUAGUUGGUGAGGUAACGGCUCACCAAGGCUAAGACGGGUAGCUGGUCUGAGAGGAUGGUCAGCCACACUGGGACUGAGACACUGCCCAGACUCCUACGGGAGGCUGCAGUCGAGAAUCUUUCGCAAUGGGGGAAACCCUGACGAAGCGACGCCGCGUGCAGGAUUAAGGCCUUCGGGUUGUAAACUGCUGUCGGCUGGGAAGAAACAGCGAGCAAUUAAUAGUUGCACGCUUUGACGGUACCAGCAAAGGAAGCCACGGCUAACUCUGUGCCAGCAGCCGCGGUAAUACAGAGGUGGCAAGCGUUGUUCGGAUUUAUUGGGCGUAAAGGGUCCGUAGGCGGUUUGGAAAGUCGGAUGUGAAAUCCCACAGCUCAACUGUGGAACUGCAUUCGAAACUCCCAGACUUGAGUGUGAGAGGGGUAAAGAGAAUUCCUGGUGUAAGGGUGAAAUCUGCAGAGAUCAGGAAGAAUACCAGUCGCGAAGGCGCUUUACUGGCUCACAACUGACGCUGAGGGACGAAAGCUAGGGGAGCAAACGGGAUUAGAUACCCCGGUAGUCCUAGCCGUAAACUAUGAUCACUAGGUGUUGGGAGGGUUAAACCUUUCGGUGCCGCAGCUAACGCAUUAAGUGAUCCGCCUGGGGAGUACGGUCGCAAGGCUGAAACUCAAAGGGAAUUGACGGGGACCCGCACAAACGGUG